RNAcentral lists this ribosomal RNA (433 nucleotides) under uncultured bacterium. Its description in RNAcentral is "partial 16S ribosomal RNA". It matches the Rfam family "Bacterial small subunit ribosomal RNA", at positions 29 to 507 of the family's 1533-position model. The record is from RNAcentral.
AACGAACGCUGGCGGCAUGCCUAACACAUGCAAGUCGAACGAUCCCUUCGGGGAUAGUGGCGAACGGGUGCGUAACGCGUGGGAACCUGCCCUUAGGUUCGGAAUAACUCAGAGAAAUUUGAGCUAAUACCGGAUAAUGUCUUCGGACCAAAGAUUUAUCGCCGUUGGAUGGGCCCGCGUUGGAUUAGCUAGUUGGUGGGGUAAAGGCCUACCAAGGCGACGAUCCAUAGCUGGUCUGAGAGGAUGAUCAGCCACACUGGGACUGGGACACGGCCCAGACUCCUACGGGAGGGAGCAGUGGGGAAUAUUGGACAAUGGGCGAAAGCCUGAUCCAGCAAUGCCGCGUGAGUGAUGAAGGCCUUAGGGUUGUAAAGCUCUUUUACCCGGGAUGAUAAUGACGGUACCGGGAGAAUAAGCCCCGGCUAACUCCGUG